UUUGUGAAAGUCUGUUUAGAUUAUCCCUUUUGAGAUAAGUGUUAAAGAAGCAGAAGAAGAUAUGUCUGCAAAACUUCUGUAUAACUUGUCAGAUGAGAAUCCAAAUCUUAAUAAACAGUUUGGAUGCAUGAAUGGGAUCUUUCAAGUGUUUUAUCGGCAACAUUGUCCGGCGAGACCAGUCGCCGUCUCUGGCCAUGUAGACAAGUCUUUGCCUCCAGGAGAUAGAAAAGAUAUCGUCGGUGAAACUAACAUGGAAAGUGA
Camelina sativa (false flax) is the source of this 261-nucleotide non-coding RNA. NCBI's taxonomy places the organism in Eukaryota, Viridiplantae, Streptophyta, Magnoliopsida, Brassicales, Brassicaceae. The record is from RefSeq and is a predicted model, not a curated record.